GAUGAACGCUGGCGGCGUGCCUAAUACAUGCAAGUCGAGCGAGAAUUUUUCAAAUGACACUUCGGUUGAUUUUGGAAAAGGACAGCGGCGGACGGGUGAGUAGCGCGUAGGCAACCUGCCCCUGACAGAGGGAUAGCCAUUGGAAACGAUGAUUAAAACCUCAUAACGCCGAAGGAACACAUGCUUCAUCGGCCAAAGAUUUAUCGGUCAGGGAUGGGCCUGCGUCUGAUUAACUAGUUGGUGAGGUAACGGCUCACCAAGGUGACGAUCAGUAGCCGACCUGAGAGGGUGAUCGGCCACAUUGGAACUGAGACACGGUCCAAACUUCAACGGAAGGCAGCAGUAGGGAAUCUUGCACAAUGGGCGAAAGCCUGAUGCAGCAACGCCGCGUGAAGGAUGAAGGCCUUCGGGUUGUAAACUUCUGUUCUUAGGGAAGAAGAAAGUGACGGUACCUAAGGAGAAAGCCCCGGCUAACUACGUGCCAGCAGCCGCGGUAA
This 497-nucleotide ribosomal RNA is filed under the name uncultured bacterium. RNAcentral's name for it is "partial 16S ribosomal RNA". It matches the Rfam family "Bacterial small subunit ribosomal RNA", at positions 28 to 523 of the family's 1533-position model. The record is from RNAcentral.